GCCGAAGGCGAAGGGCGGGAGCGCGGGAUCCGCAUCUCGUCACCGGCGCAGACCAAAAAUGGUUGUAGAAGGAGAUGCGGCUCCUAGUGAAGGAGAGGGAUCUGCAAACCAUUCUUCUAGAUAGAACUCGAAACGACCCAUCGAGCGGCAGACGCGUCGUGUUGAUAUCGACGGGGUGGCAGAGGAUGAUGAGGCAAGUAUCGAGCAACCAGUGUGGGUGCAUGUCACUUUUUUGCGCGCGCACACA
Triticum urartu is the source of this 247-nucleotide non-coding RNA. Lineage: Eukaryota; Viridiplantae; Streptophyta; Magnoliopsida; Poales; Poaceae. The record is from RefSeq and is a predicted model, not a curated record.